RNAcentral lists this ribosomal RNA (477 nucleotides) under uncultured bacterium. Its description in RNAcentral is "bacterial SSU rRNA". It matches the Rfam family "Bacterial small subunit ribosomal RNA", at positions 30 to 497 of the family's 1533-position model. The record is from RNAcentral.
AUUGAACGCUGGCGGCAGGCCUAACACAUGCAAGUCGAGCGGUAGAGAGGUGCUUGCAUCUCUUGAGAGCGGCGGACGGGUGAGUAAUGCCUAGGAAUCUGCCUAGUGGUGGGGGAUAACGUUCGGAAACGGACGCUAAUACCGCAUACGUCCUACGGGAGAAAGCGGGGGAUCUUCGGACCUCGCGCCAUUAGAUGAGCCUAGGUCGGAUUAGCUAGUUGGUGAGGUAAUGGCUCACCAAGGCGACGAUCCGUAACUGGUCUGAGAGGAUGAUCAGUCACACUGGAACUGAGACACGGUCCAGACUCCUACGGGAGGCAGCAGUGGGGAAUAUUGGACAAUGGGCGAAAGACCUGAUCCAGCCAUGCCGCGUGUGUGAAGAAGGUCUUCGGAUUGUAAAGCACUUUAAGUUGGGUAGGAAGGGUAGUAACCUAAUACGUUGCUACUUUGACGUUACCGUACAGAAUAAGCACCGGC